Molecule: ribosomal RNA, 429 nt
Filed under: Actinomycetes bacterium
Lineage: Bacteria; Bacillati; Actinomycetota; Actinomycetes
Description: Actinobacteria bacterium partial 16S ribosomal RNA
Rfam family: Bacterial small subunit ribosomal RNA
Source: RNAcentral
UAGGGAAUCUUCCGCAAUGGGCGAAAGCCUGACGGAGCAACGCCACGUGAGUGAUGAAGGUCUUCGGAUCGUAAAACUCUGUUAUUAGGGAAGAACAAAUGUGUAAGUAACUAUGCACGUCUUGACGGUACCUAAUCAGAAAGCCACGGCUAACUACGUGCCAGCAGCCGCGGUAAUACGUAGGUGGCAAGCGUUAUCCGGAAUUAUUGGGCGUAAAGCGCGCGUAGGCGGUUUUUUAAGUCUGAUGUGAAAGCCCACGGCACAACCGUGGAGGGUCAUUGGAAACUGGAAAACUUGAGUGCAGAAGAGGAAAGUGGAAUUCCAUGUGUAGCGGUGAAAUGCGCAGAGAUAUGGAGGAACACCAGUGGCGAAGGCGACUUUCUGGUCUGUAACUGACGCUGAUGUGCGAAAGCGUGGGGAUCAAACAGG